GGCCGGGAAUUACGGGCCUAACACUGUCACCCAGCAGACACAGAGGAACACUGUCACCCAGCAGACACAGAGGAAUAUACACUCUCUGUGCCAGAAAGAAAUCUCCUGGGGAAUCUUCACAGUUAUAACGGUAAUCACGCACAGAACGAGCAGUAUGGCUGGUGGCAUUGUCAUGCUGGAGGGUCAUGUC
This is a long non-coding RNA of Salmo salar (Atlantic salmon), 190 nucleotides long. RefSeq lists it as uncharacterized. NCBI's taxonomy places the organism in Eukaryota, Metazoa, Chordata, Actinopteri, Salmoniformes, Salmonidae. The record is from RefSeq and is a predicted model, not a curated record.